GUAGUCAUAUGCUUGUCUCAAAGAUUAAGCCAUGCAUGUCUAAGUAUAAGCAAUUAUACCGUGAAACUGCGAAUGGCUCAUUAAAUCAGUUAUCGUUUAUUUGAUAGUACCUUACUACUUGGAUAACCGUGGUAAUUCUAGAGCUAAUACAUGCUGAAAACCCCAACUUCGGGAGGGGUGUAUUUAUUAGAUAAAAAACCAACGCCCUUUCGGGGCUUCUUGGUGAUUCAUGAUAACUUCACGGAUCGCAUGGCCUUGCGCCGGCGACGGUUCAUUCAAAUUUCUGCCCUAUCAACUUUCGAUGGUAAGGUAUUGGCUUACCAUGGUUUCAACGGGUAACGGGGAAUUAGGGUUCGAUUCCGGAGAGGGAGCCUGAGAAACGGCUACCACAUCCAAGGAAGGCAGCAGGCGCGCAAAUUACCCAAUCCCGACACGGGGAGGUAGUGACAAUAAAUACUGAUACAGGGCUCUUUUGGGUCUUGUAAUUGGAAUGAGUACAAUUUAAACCUCUUAACGAGGAACAAUUGGAGGGCAAGUCUGGUGCCAGCAGCCGCGGUAAUUCCAGCUCCAAUAGCGUAUAUUAAAGUUGUUGCAGUUAAAAAGCUCGUAGUUGAAACUUGGGCCUGGCUGGCAGGUCCGCCUCACCGCGUGUACUUGUCCGGCCGGGCCUUUCCUUCUGGAGAACCUCAUGCCCUUCACUGGGUGUGUUGGGGAACCAGGACUUUUACUUUGAAAAAAUUAGAGUGUUCAAAGCAGGCCUUUGCUCGAAUACGUUAGCAUGGAAUAAUAGAAUAGGACGUGCGGUCCUAUUUUGUUGGUUUCUAGGACCGCCGUAAUGAUUAAUAGGGACAGUCGGGGGCAUCAGUAUUCAAUUGUCAGAGGUGAAAUUCUUGGAUUUAUUGAAGACUAACUACUGCGAAAGCAUUUGCCAAGGAUGUUUUCAUUAAUCAGUGAACGAAAGUUAGGGGAUCGAAGACGAUCAGAUACCGUCGUAGUCUUAACCGUAAACUAUGCCGACUAGGGAUCGGGCGAUGUUCUUUUUCUGACUCGCUCGGCACCUUACGAGAAAUCAAA
RNAcentral lists this ribosomal RNA (1074 nucleotides) under Microsphaeropsis spartii-juncei. RNAcentral's name for it is "SSU rRNA". It matches the Rfam family "Eukaryotic small subunit ribosomal RNA", at positions 20 to 1102 of the family's 1831-position model. The record is from RNAcentral. RNAcentral also lists the same sequence under 1 other name. Lineage: Eukaryota; Fungi; Ascomycota; Dothideomycetes; Pleosporales; Didymellaceae.